Molecule: ribosomal RNA, 558 nt
Filed under: uncultured bacterium
Lineage: Bacteria
Description: partial 16S ribosomal RNA
Rfam family: Bacterial small subunit ribosomal RNA
Source: RNAcentral
UGGGGAAUUUUGGACAAUGGGGGGAAACCCUGAUCCAGCCAUCCCGCGUGUGCGAUGAAGGCCUUCGGGUUGUAAAGCACUUUUGGCAGGAAAGAAACGUCGCGGGUUAAUACCCCGCGAAACUGACGGUACCUGCAGAAUAAGCACCGGCCAACUACGUGCCAGCAGCCGCGGUAAUACGUAGGGUGCAAGCGUUAAUCGGAAUUACUGGGCGUAAAGCGUGCGCAGGCGGUUCGGAAAGAAAGAUGUGAAAUCCCAGAGCUUAACUUUGGAACUGCAUUUUAACUACCGGGCUAGAGUGUGUCAGAGGGAGGUGGAAUUCCGCGUGUAGCAGUGAAAUGCGUAGAUAUGCGGAGGAACACCGAUGGCGAAGGCAGCCUCCUGGGAUAACACUGACGCUCAUGCACGAAAAGCGUGGGGGAGCAAAACAGGAUUAGAUACCCUGGUAGUCCACGCCCUAAACGAUGUCAACUAGCUGUUGGGGCCUUCGGGCCUUGGUAGCGCAGCUAACGCGUGAAGUUGACCGCCUGGGGAGUACGGUCGCAAGAUUAAAAACUU